This 73-nucleotide transfer RNA is filed under the name Bigelowiella natans CCMP2755. RNAcentral describes it as "tRNA-Thr for anticodon UGU". It matches the Rfam family "tRNA". From Rfam's summary of the family: Transfer RNA (tRNA) molecules are approximately 80 nucleotides in length. Their secondary structure includes four short double-helical elements and three loops (D, anti-codon, and T loops). The record is from RNAcentral. Lineage: Eukaryota; Cercozoa; Chlorarachniophyceae.
GCCGUCUUAGCACAGUGGUUAGUGCAUCUCUCUUGUAAAGAGAAGGUCCCGAGUUCGAAUCUCGGAGAUGGCU